This 380-nucleotide ribosomal RNA is filed under the name Actinomyces naeslundii. RNAcentral describes it as "partial 16S ribosomal RNA". It matches the Rfam family "Bacterial small subunit ribosomal RNA", at positions 98 to 459 of the family's 1533-position model. Lineage: Bacteria; Bacillati; Actinomycetota; Actinomycetes; Actinomycetales; Actinomycetaceae. The record is from RNAcentral.
GCGAACGGGUGAGUAACACGUGAGUAACCUGCCCCCUUCUUGCUGGAUAACCGCAUGAAAGUGUGGCUAAUACGGGAUAUUAUGGGUCUGUACGCAUGGUGGGCCUGGGAAAGAUUGCGCCUUUUUUUGGUGUUUUUGGUGGGGGAUGGGCUCGCGGCCUAUCAGCUUGUUGGGGGGGUGAUGGCCUACCAAGGCGGUGACGGGUAGCCGGCCUGAGAGGGUGGACGGUCACACUGGGACUGAGACACGGCCCAGACUCCUACGGGAGGCAGCAGUGGGGAAUAUUGCACAAUGGGCGCAAGCCUGAUGCAGCGACGCCGCGUGAGGGAUGGAGGCCUUCGGGUUGUGAACCUCUUUCGCCAGUGAAGCAGGCCUGCCUC